UGGGGAAUAUUGGACAAUGGGCGCAAGCCUGAUCCAGCCAUACCGCGUGGGUGAAGAAGGCCUUCGGGUUGUAAAGCCCUUUUGUUGGGAAAGAAAUCCUAUCGGUUAAUAACCGGUGGGGAUGACGGUACCCAAAGAAUAAGCACCGGCUAACUUCGUGCCAGCAGCCGCGGUAAUACGAAGGGUGCAAGCGUUACCCGGAAUUACUGGGCGUAAAGCGUGCGUAGGUGGUGGUUUAAGUCUGCUGUGAAAGCCCUGUGCUCAACCUGGGAAUUGCAGUGGAUACUGGAUCACUAGGGUGUGGUAGAGGGAUGAGGAAUAUCUGGUGUAGCAGCGAAAUGCGUAGAGAUCAGAGGGAACAUCAGUAGCGAAGGCGGAAUCCUGGGCAAACACUGACACUGAGGCAAGAAAGCGUGGGAAGCAAACA
This 427-nucleotide ribosomal RNA is filed under the name uncultured bacterium. RNAcentral's name for it is "bacterial SSU rRNA". It matches the Rfam family "Bacterial small subunit ribosomal RNA", at positions 355 to 774 of the family's 1533-position model. The record is from RNAcentral.